This 358-nucleotide transfer RNA is filed under the name uncultured Microcystis sp. RNAcentral's name for it is "partial 16S-23S ribosomal RNA intergenic spacer". The stretch from base 134 to 207 matches the Rfam family "tRNA". The record is from RNAcentral. Lineage: Bacteria; Bacillati; Cyanobacteriota; Cyanophyceae; Chroococcales; Microcystaceae.
AAAGGGAGACCUAAUUCAGGUAUAAGACGAAAAAAAAGUAGUCCCUACCAAGAAUCAAUCCCAAAAGGUCGGAACGAGGUAUGAGGCUUUCAAACUAGGUUCUGGGUUCAUAAAAGACCUGAAUCAGGAACAAGGGCUAUUAGCUCAGGUGGUUAGAGCGCACCCCUGAUAAGGGUGAGGUCCCUGGUUCGAGUCCAGGAUGGCCCACCUGCACAGGUGGCAAAAACAAAAAAGCUCCGAAUCAGCACCUUAUCUUACUUAUAUAGUAAGAGAGAAUGCUGGCUCUGAGUACAGAGUCCAGAGGAACCUUGAAAACUGCAUAGAGCUAGGUGAAAAAGCCAAAAAAGAAGACCGCAAG